This 292-nucleotide ribosomal RNA is filed under the name uncultured bacterium. RNAcentral describes it as "partial 16S ribosomal RNA". The record is from RNAcentral.
GGACUACCCGGGUAUCUAAUCCUGUUUGCUCCCCACGCUUUCGUGCAUCAACGUCAGGAAUGAGCCAAGAAGCUGCCUUCGCCAUCGGUGUUCCUCCCGAGAUCUACGCAUUUUACCGCUACUCCGGGAAUUCCACUUCUCUCUCUCACCCUCUAGUCCGCCAGUUUCCAUUGCAGCCCCCCGGUUGGGCCGGAGAAUUUAACAACAGACUUAACAGGCCGUCUACGCACCCUUUACGCCCAAUUAUUCCGAAUAACGCUUGCACCCCUCGUAUUACCGCGGCUGCUGGCAC